Molecule: ribosomal RNA, 370 nt
Filed under: uncultured beta proteobacterium
Lineage: Bacteria; Pseudomonadati; Pseudomonadota; Betaproteobacteria
Description: bacterial SSU rRNA
Rfam family: Bacterial small subunit ribosomal RNA
Source: RNAcentral
GAGUGGCGAACGGGUGAGUAAUAUAUCGGAACGUGCCCAGUCGUGGGGGAUAACGUAGCGAAAGUUACGCUAAUACCGCAUACGAUCUAAGGAUGAAAGCGGGGGAUCGCAAGACCUCGCGCGACUGGAGCGGCCGAUAUCAGAUUAGGUAGUUGGUAGGGUAAAGGCCUACCAAGCCAACGAUCUGUAGCUGGUCUGAGAGGACGACCAGCCACACUGGAACUGAGACACGGUCCAGACUCCUACGGGAGGCAGCAGUGGGGAAUUUUNGGACAAUGGGCGAAAGCCUGAUCCAGCCAUUCCGCGUGCAGGAUGAAGGCCCUCGGGUUGUAAACUGCUUUUNNNNCAGAACGAAAAGGUUUCUAUUAAU